GCCCUCGUGGUGUAAUGGAUAACACGACAGCCUUCGAAGCUGUAUAUGGGAGUUCGAUUCUCUCCGGGGGCA
This 72-nucleotide transfer RNA is filed under the name bacterium. Its description in RNAcentral is "tRNA-Arg". It matches the Rfam family "tRNA". From Rfam's summary of the family: Transfer RNA (tRNA) molecules are approximately 80 nucleotides in length. Their secondary structure includes four short double-helical elements and three loops (D, anti-codon, and T loops). Further hydrogen bonds mediate the characteristic L-shaped molecular structure. tRNAs have two regions of fundamental functional importance: the anti-codon, which is responsible for specific mRNA codon recognition, and the 3' end, to which the tRNAs corresponding amino acid is attached (by aminoacyl-tRNA synthetases). tRNAs cope with the degeneracy of the genetic code in two manners: having more than one tRNA (with a specific anti-codon) for a particular amino acid; and 'wobble' base-pairing, i.e. permitting non-standard base-pairing at the 3rd anti-codon position. The record is from RNAcentral.